AAAUGAUGAAAUUAUACCCAAUACACUUCUCGACCAAAUUGAUCCAGAUGGUGCAAUUGAGAGAUUUCCAGAAUUGGUGGCAGAUGGUAAUUUUUGGAGAGAUUCUUUUCUAUUCACCACAUUUUGCUUACUGAUCUUUUUGGAUCAGGUGGAUAAACCCUUUAAUACUAUGAUCAUAAGUGACA
This 185-nucleotide non-coding RNA is filed under the name Dactyliosolen fragilissimus. The record is from RNAcentral. Lineage: Eukaryota; Bacillariophyta; Coscinodiscophyceae; Rhizosoleniales; Rhizosoleniaceae.